GUACACACCGCCCGUCGCUACUACCGAUUGAAUGGCUCAGUGAGGUCUUUAGAUUUGAGAUGGGAUAAAACCUAUUUUGAAGAAGUUGAACAAACUUGGUCAUUUAGAGGAAGUAAAAGUCGUAACAAGGUAUUCGUAGGUGAACCUGCAGAAGGAUCA
Molecule: ribosomal RNA, 159 nt
Filed under: uncultured eukaryote
Lineage: Eukaryota
Description: partial small subunit ribosomal RNA
Rfam family: Eukaryotic small subunit ribosomal RNA
Source: RNAcentral